UACAUCAUCCCAGCCAAAGCUUUGUCCUUCCAGGUCUUAAAAACCUCCAAGGAUGGAGCUUCCACAGCCUCUUUGGGUGACCCGUUCCAGUGUUUUACUAUCCUCUUGGCACCUGCAGAUAACUUGGCAAUUGCUGCUACUCAUGGAAACCCAUUUGGCUGCUGACCGUGUCCUAGGGCUAAAGAAAAGAAGGCAUUCAGGAUAAACUCAACUUUACUUGCUCCUUCAGACGUGUUCACAUGGGUGCAUUGGUGUUCUUCAGCUCCUAUGCACGGGGAGUGUUUGUUGGCUCCAUGAUGGAAAACUUUUUGCUCUUUUUCCACGGAUCUUUUGGAGUUGCAUGAAGAAGCUGAGACUGGAACCGCAGUCACCUGUGGAAACUGGAACCAGAAGCUACCUGGCUUUUACCAGCCCUGAAAUGUUACUCUAGGGAAGAGGAGCAGAAUUGAACCACAAAGGUUUUACCUCCAAUGUUAAGUGCAUAUUGAAGAUUUAAGUAGCAAUUAAGGUUGCUGUAGAAGAUGGCAAAACAGCAUGUUUAUUUUCCACAGAUAAGAAAAAAAGAAAAAAGGAGAAAACCCCCCCCCCAGCAAUUAGGAGAACAGACUGGGGGGAAAAAAUAUUAAAUGGAUGUUUCUG
This is a long non-coding RNA of Alligator mississippiensis (American alligator), 639 nucleotides long. RefSeq lists it as uncharacterized. The transcript is spliced from 3 exons. NCBI's taxonomy places the organism in Eukaryota, Metazoa, Chordata, Crocodylia, Alligatoridae. The record is from RefSeq and is a predicted model, not a curated record.